UGCAUGGGCAAUUUGUGUCUACAAUUUUAAGACAAGGGAUUUUCUAAUGGCUUCAAGGAAUUUUUUUUUCCCCUCCAGAUAAAAUGACAAGCUUCCAGCCUUCGGACUUGGAAAGGAAGGGAAGUUACUUAAAUCUAGUAUCUUCCAUAUGCCUGGGGCUAUUUCAAGAACAACAAAUCUCUGCAUGUUUAAAAACAGUGCUGUGGAAAUUAGAGCUACAGCAUUUUGUUCUGAAAAUAACUUGGACAGGAGAGGUGAACCAGUGGUACAUGUGCGGGCAAAGCUCUCUGACUUCACUGCACAAUCGUCUCUUCCUCUUAAACAACCAGCUCCCAGUUACCACAAUACCCCUGUGUACAGAGGAAAGCCAAAAUUAAAAGGUCUCUUUAAUACUCCAGGUAAGAUUCCAGUUAAAUUCAGGGCUAAAGAGAAGGCAUUCUGGUUGGUGA
Molecule: long non-coding RNA, 449 nt
Filed under: Mustela putorius furo (domestic ferret)
Lineage: Eukaryota; Metazoa; Chordata; Mammalia; Carnivora; Mustelidae
Description: lncRNA (ENSMPUG00000024876.1)
Source: RNAcentral